Pogona vitticeps (central bearded dragon) is the source of this 301-nucleotide long non-coding RNA. The record is from Ensembl. Lineage: Eukaryota; Metazoa; Chordata; Lepidosauria; Squamata; Agamidae.
AUUGGGCCUUUGGUUCACCUGUUGCAUCUAUGUUCUUUGCUUUGCCAGAGAAUCUUAGAACCCAGGUUAGGCUGGUAACAGUUCCUCUAAAGAUGAAUCAAUAUAAUAAUGUGAGGGAGGGGGAAAGCACCCCAGUGCAGGGAUGAUACUCUGGACUACAAAAUACUCAAGACACCAAGAAUCCAAACGUAAUUUUCCAAUCUCUGCUUCAGUAAAACUUAUUCACAGCACACACCGACUGAUAACUUCUGCCAGGGCUGGUGAGUAUUUCUAGCCAGAAACCCCAAAUAUAAAGCACGUU